This 497-nucleotide ribosomal RNA is filed under the name uncultured bacterium. Its description in RNAcentral is "partial 16S ribosomal RNA". It matches the Rfam family "Bacterial small subunit ribosomal RNA", at positions 28 to 507 of the family's 1533-position model. The record is from RNAcentral.
GAUGAACGCUGGCGGCGUGCCUAAUACAUGCAAGUCGAGCGAACGGACGAGAAGCUUGCUUCUCUGAUGUUAGCGGCGGACGGGUGAGUAACACGUGGAUAACCUACCUAUAAGACUGGGAUAACUUCGGGAAACCGGAGCUAAUACCGGAUAAUAUUUUGAACCGCAUGGUUCAAAAGUGAAAGACGGUCUUGCUGUCACUUAUAGAUGGAUCCGCGCUGCAUUAGCUAGUUGGUAAGGUAACGGCUUACCAAGGCAACGAUGGAUAGCCGACCUGAAAGGGUGAUCGGCCACACUGGAACUGAGACACGGUCCAGACUCCUACGGGAGGCAGCAGUAGGGAAUCUUCCGCAAUGGGCGAAAGCCUGACGGAGCAACGCCGCGUGAGUGAUGAAGGUCUUCGGAUCGUAAAACUCUGUUAUUAGGGAAGAACAUAUGUGUAAGUAACUGUGCACAUCUUGACGGUACCUAAUCAGAAAGCCACGGCUAACUACGUG